UACAGAGGGGGCAAGCGUUGUUCGGAAUUACUGGGCGUAAAGGGCGCGUAGGCGGCCUUCUAAGUCGAACGUGAAAUCCCCGGGCUCAACCCGGGAACUGCGUCCGAUACUGGAAGGCUUGAAUCCGGGAGAGGGAUGUGGAAUUCCAGGUGUAGCGGUGAAAUGCGCAGAUAUCAGGAGGAACACCGGUGGCGAAGGCGGGUCUCUGGGCCGAUACUGACGCUGAGGAGCGAAAGCGUGGGGAGCGAACAGG
This 253-nucleotide ribosomal RNA is filed under the name uncultured bacterium. RNAcentral's name for it is "partial 16S ribosomal RNA". It matches the Rfam family "Bacterial small subunit ribosomal RNA", at positions 524 to 776 of the family's 1533-position model. The record is from RNAcentral.